Molecule: ribosomal RNA, 924 nt
Filed under: Salmonella enterica subsp. enterica serovar Kentucky
Lineage: Bacteria; Pseudomonadati; Pseudomonadota; Gammaproteobacteria; Enterobacterales; Enterobacteriaceae
Description: partial 23S ribosomal RNA
Rfam family: Bacterial large subunit ribosomal RNA
Source: RNAcentral
AGCGGUGAGUGCUUUGGGGUGGGGUGACUGCGUACCUUUUGUAUAAUGGGUCAGCGACUUAUAUUCUGUAGCAAGGUUAACCGUAUAGGGGAGCCGAAGGGAAACCGAGUCUUAACUGGGCGUUAAGUUGCAGGGUAUAGACCCGAAACCCGGUGAUCUAGCCAUGGGCAGGUUGAAGGUUGGGUAACACUAACUGGAGGACCGAACCGACUAAUGUUGAAAAAUUAGCGGAUGACUUGUGGCUGGGGGUGAAAGGCCAAUCAAACCGGGAGAUAGCUGGUUCUCCCCGAAAGCUAUUUAGGUAGCGCCUCGUGAACUCAUCUUCGGGGGUAGAGCACUGUUUCGGCUAGGGGGUCAUCCCGACUUACCAACCCGAUGCAAACUGCGAAUACCGAAGAAUGUUAUCACGGGAGACACACGGCGGGUGCUAACGUCCGUCGUGAAGAGGGAAACAACCCAGACCGCCAGCUAAGGUCCCAAAGUCACAGUUAAGUGGGAAACGAUGUGGGAAGGCUCAGACAGCCAGGAUGUUGGCUUAGAAGCAGCCAUCAUUUAAAGAAAGCGUAAUAGCUCACUGGUCGAGUCGGCCUGCGCGGAAGAUGUAACGGGGCUAAACUGUGCACCGAAGCUGCGGCAGCGACGCUUAUGCGUUGUUGGGUAGGGGAGCGUUCUGUAAGCCUGCGAAGGUGUCCUGUGAGGGAUGCUGGAGGUAUCAGAAGUGCGAAUGCUGACAUAAGUAACGAUAAUGCGGGUGAAAAGCCCGCUCGCCGGAAGACCAAGGGUUCCUGUCCAACGUUAAUCGGGGCAGGGUGAGUCGACCCCUAAGGCGAGGCCGAAAGGCGUAGUCGAUGGGAAACGGGUUAAUAUUCCCGUACUUGGUGUUACUGCGAAGGGGGGACGGAGAAGGCUAUGUUGGCCGGGCGA